UGGGGAAUAUUGCACAAUGGGGGAAACCCUGAUGCAGCGACGCCGCGUGAACGAAGAAGGUAUUCGUAUCGUAAAGUUCUGUCCUAUGGGAAGAUAAUGACAGUACCAUAGAAGAAAGCUCCGGCUAAAUACGUGCCAGCAGCCGCGGUAAUACGUAUGGAGCGAGCGUUGUCCGGAAUUAUUGGGGGUAAAGGGUACGCAGGCGGUUUAAUAAGUCGAAUGUUAAAGAUCGGGGCUCAACCCCGCAAAGCAUUGGAAACUGAUAAACUUGAGUAGUGGAGAGGAAAGUGGAAUUCCUAGUGUAGUGGUGAAAUACGUAGAUAUUAGGAGGAAUACCAGUAGCGAAGGCGACUUUCUGGACACAAACUGACGCUGAGGUACGAAAGCGUGGGGAGCAAACAGG
This 403-nucleotide ribosomal RNA is filed under the name bacterium. Its description in RNAcentral is "partial 16S ribosomal RNA". It matches the Rfam family "Bacterial small subunit ribosomal RNA", at positions 355 to 776 of the family's 1533-position model. The record is from RNAcentral.